GUGAGGAAUUUUCCGCAAUGGGCGAAAGCCUGACGGAGCAAUGCCGCGUGAAGGAUGAAGGCCUAUGGGUUGUAAACUUCUUUUCUCAGAAAAGAAUUAUGACGGUAUCUGAGGAAUAAGCAUCGGCUAACUCUGUGCCAGCAGCCGCGGUAAGACAGAGGAUGCAAGCGUUAUCCGGAAUGAUUGGGCGUAAAGCGUCUGUAGGUUGUUUAAAAAGUAUUCUGUCAAAGAUUAGGGCUUAACCCUAGAUAGGCAGAAUAAACUUUUAAGCUAGAGUUUGGUAGAGGCAGAGGGAGUUCCCGGUGGAGCGGUGAAAUGCGUAGAUAUCGGGAGGAACACCAAAGGCGAAGGCACUCUGCUGGGCCAAUACUAACACUGAGAGACGAAAGCGAGGGGAGCAAAUGGGAUUAGAAACCCCAGUAGUCC
This 426-nucleotide ribosomal RNA is filed under the name uncultured bacterium. RNAcentral describes it as "partial 16S ribosomal RNA". It matches the Rfam family "Bacterial small subunit ribosomal RNA", at positions 354 to 796 of the family's 1533-position model. The record is from RNAcentral.